GUGGGGAAUAUUGGACAAUGGGCGAAAGCCUGAUCCAGCCAUGCCGCGUGUGUGAAGAAGGUCUUCGGAUUGUAAAGCACUUUAAGUUGGGAGGAAGGGCAGUAAGUUAAUACCUUGCUGUUUUGACGUUACCGACAGAAUAAGCACCGGCUAACUUCGUGCCAGCAGCCGCGGUAAUACGAAGGGUGCAAGCGUUAAUCGGAAUUACUGGGCGUAAAGCGCGCGUAGGUGGUUUUGUAAGUUGGAGGUGAAAUCCCCGGGCUCAACCUGGGAACUGCCUCCAAAACUGCAUGACUAGAGUACGGUAGAGGGUAGUGGAAUGUCCUGUGUAGCGGUGAAAUGCGUAGAUAUAGGAAGGAACACCAGUGGCGAAGGCGACUACCUGGACUGAUACUGACACUGAGGUGCGAAAGCGUGGGGAGCAAACAGGAUUAGAUACCCCGGUAGUCC
RNAcentral lists this ribosomal RNA (450 nucleotides) under uncultured bacterium. Its description in RNAcentral is "bacterial SSU rRNA". It matches the Rfam family "Bacterial small subunit ribosomal RNA", at positions 354 to 796 of the family's 1533-position model. The record is from RNAcentral.